Molecule: long non-coding RNA, 2649 nt
Organism: Panthera uncia (snow leopard)
Lineage: Eukaryota; Metazoa; Chordata; Mammalia; Carnivora; Felidae
Exons: 5
Source: RefSeq, a predicted model, not a curated record
UAAACAAAAUGAGGAACCAGACUAAGAAGUAUUAAGUAUGCUUAAAUAUGCUGAGGUCUUGGAAAUUGUAACUAAGAACGUGUAUCACUGUACCGUGCUUAAGGGGUAUAGCUUUCUCAUUCUCUACAUUCACUGGAAUUUUGAGAAGUAGUGCCAAGUAUAUGUUGUGAGCUUUGUCCACUCUGAACUCAGUGGCAAUGCAAGAGGCUCCUGGUUUGGUGGCCACAUCUCAGGUUCGAAGAGGGAGGCAGUACAGGGGCAGAGUGGGCUGCAUGGUGAGGCAGUGGUGCAUAUGGGCCUCAAGGGCUGGGCAGUGGUUUGGAAAUUGCAGUAGUGGAUGUGGUGAGGUGCUGCCCAGAUGUCCCUUCAGGAGGAGACAGACACACAUCGCCCAGCUGCAAGGAGAGCUGGCUGCUGAUGGAUCUCAGCUGAAUCCCUCUCUGAGAACUGCCUUUUGCCAAAGGUUAUACCUCCUUCCUGGGAGGAAGCCCACCUCUGGUGCCUGGUCAAAGGGGGGUGGAGGGCACAGCACCUUGACAUAAUUUCUGACAUCCUGAAGGGCCACCCCAGCUCCAGAGCUUCAGAUGGGAUCCACUGAGGCCUGAGUUGUGGACGCAUCAUGGUUCACCUUCCCCCUUUGCCCAGUCCCGCACCCCUCGCUCCCUCAAGGGGCUUCCUGAGAGCUCCCCAGUAAGCCCUGCAUGCAGAUCUCAACAUCUCACUGUCGGUUUCCAGGAUGCCUGAUGUAAGAUAGUAACAGGCUUUCCAGGCAGAGGGUGGCUUUGGGAAACAGUCGAGAUGUCCAGUUGGCUGGGGUGUUGUGUUGAGUGUAGGGGCAAGUGAGAUAGAAAUGUGGCAAAGGGGCAGGUCUGGGGGGUGGUGAGGAUCUGCAGUUUUGAGCACACGGCAGCCUUAUGGCCAAUUUAGGUCAAAUUACCAAAAAAUUUUGUGGUAUAUCUCAGGGACCAUAUUAUAAUGAGAAAAGUAACUGAAAGAAGUCGGUUUAUAAUGUACUGUCAUUUUGAGAUGCAAAUCCCAUCAUUAGUGAACCAUAGUUUUUAAAACAUUUUUUCAGGAAACAGGGAUAGAUCUGAGAGGAUUGUCUACAUAAGCAAUCUCCACAUGCAUUUACAAAAUAGCUGGUAGGGGUUAAAGAGAUUGCCUCUUCACUUUCGAAUACUUGUUCCUAGGUGAACAGAAACUAUGUCCUACUAGGUAUUAGAGAUUAUGUAUGUUCUCUCUGAACCUACAACAACCCUGCAAGGCAGUAUUAAUGUACCAGUUUUAGGGAUAGGGAAACUGAGGCUUAGAUGGAAUAAGGGACUUGCCUGGUGAGUAAGGGGUAAAGAUGGGAUUCAAUCCCAGAUUUCUUUAACUUAGAAGCUUCUGCUGUCCAAAUCAGAUGAGCAGGUCUCAUGGAGCCCAUGACCUGGGCCUCGUGCUCCAGGGCUCUGACUCACCAGGCCUAAGUGGUGACCAAGACAUGUGCUUAUUAACCCUUGUAAGUCAUCUGUUCAAGUAACCAAAGUGGCGCUUCAGUAACUUAGCCGUUGAUUUCAACAACGGCUCCUUCUUCAGUCACAAUAAUAAUCAUAAAUAGCACUUCUAUUUUUAUUAUUUGCAGAGCCCUUUCUAUGCAUGGUGUUGUCCGAGCUUCACAACAGGGCUCUGUGAUCCAGUGCCCACCCUUCUCCACCCAGAUGUGUGCCCUGGAAGGCUGACCUGUGGACUGAUCACUGGGCUUCCAGUUGAAAUUGGCCAGUUGGACGCACCAGCAGAUCUGGCAAUCAGAUAAGAGUGAAAUUGGGGUAUUUAUUCUGCUCCCUUCCUGUGAGGACAAUGUGGACUGUCUGGAUCCUAAUACUGUCAGGACUGCAGGAAGCCCUAGGAGUCAUCCUUGACUCCUCUCGUUCCCUCACAUUCUCCAUCUAAUGUAUCGGCUUCCAGGAUCUAUGUAGAAAGAAGUACAUUGCUGUGUGUUUGUAGCUCCGCCCAUCAUUUGAGGAAUCAGUGUAUAUUGCUUACAACUGAAAAACCCGAAGUGAUACAAGAAAAAAAAUCAAUGGUGGAAGCUAUUAGUAGCAGUCUAAGAAGUCUACUUAUUAUCUACCAGAACUCCUUAAGGAAAAUUUCCAAAUGCUUCAGAGAUGGGAAGGAGAGAAAGAAAGAAAGAAAGAAAGAAAGAAAGAAAGAAAGAAAGAAGAGAAAGAGAAAUGGAAGGAAGGAAGGAAGGGGAAAGGAAGAAGGAAAAAAAAAGAUUUCUUUAUCAUACCAUGACCAAGCACCUUCCCAUAUGGUGUGAUGGGAAGGUACAUUCCUGAGGAUGGCUGGGUUUGCAGGGUGGACCCCAUCGGCAUCAUUUAAACUCCUGCCCCUGGCCAGCCUUGGUCUCUUCCUCCCUGGACUGGCUGUUACAUACAACAUGCAGGAGAAAAGGAACAGUUUGUUGCUGCUUCACACAGAGCCCAGCUGGAAUCUGCCAGAGACUGCUCUGCAUCCGGAGACAAUUUACCUUGUUGGCCCUCAGGGCAAAAAUGAAGAUGACAAUGAGCCAAGGAUGUCAGAUUUUCAGACUGCUGCUGGCUGAGUUUCUUAGGUUCUAGUCUGCAAGCCUGAAGUCUAUAUUAAAGUGGAAACAAUUAAAAGCUC